UUUCCCUGCUCCAGCUCCUCUCCCGCCGAGCCAGGAUUUGCUCCGUGGUUUUCUUGGAGCCCCUCUGGGUGUCCCCAAUCCCGGUGGCUCUGGGGACGCCCAUUCCCGGCUCCCCGGAGCCUCCCAAGCCCCCGGGGCCACCCCAAUCCGGAGGGAAGGGGUUCGGAGAUGCCGAGCGGGAUUUUCCCAGCUCCGGAGGCUCCGGCUCGGGAUCUCAUCCCGGUUUUCUCCAUCCCCAGAUGUCCCCGAGGUUGAGGUGGCCCUGGAGAACAACCUGGAAGAGGAUCCAGCCCAUCCCAAGCCCCAGAGCGUCUCCCCCAGCCCGGAGGAGAUCCACGUGGGGCAGCCGGUCCCACUGUGCUGCUGGACGUCGCGGCCGCAGCCCACGGUGGAGCAGGGCAGCCAGGUGUCCCCCAAGAUCCUGAAGCUGGAAUGCGACCACGAGCCGGGCCCCAGCCGUCCCAAAUCCCGCUGGGAAUUCCCGACGCAGCCCGGGCCCUCGGCAGCACCGCACAACUGCGCCCGCGCCGGCGACACCGGUGGGCGCCGGGAGCGUCCCCGUUCCCGU
This 568-nucleotide long non-coding RNA is filed under the name Lonchura striata (white-rumped munia). RNAcentral describes it as "domestica (Bengalese finch) lncRNA (ENSLSDG00000006253.1)". Lineage: Eukaryota; Metazoa; Chordata; Aves; Passeriformes; Estrildidae. The record is from RNAcentral.